AUGGGCCAAGCUGGCUGCCAUACGACUGCUUUGAAAUAUACGAUGGUCAACACCCGAAACAACCCUGCUGCCCCGGAGCAGGCUGAAGGCAGUGUGGCUAGGAAUGCGAAUCUGCCUCAUCCUCCUUCCUUGGCUGAGGUCAUGCUGGAGGCCAAGAGGAACAAACGUGAGACCAACCGUUUGCUAGAACGCAUUGAGCAGAACACAACACAACACCAGAGGAACGACUUGGUGUCUCUCGGUGACUUCAUCAAGUUGCACCCACCCACUUUUCAUCAUUUCGACAAGCCCCUCGAUGCGGAUGAUUGGCUCCGCAGCAUCACCCAUAAGCUACAUUCUGCACAUGUAGCCGAAGCUGACAAGGUCAUUUUCGCUGCUUAUCAUCUUGAAGGCCCCACCAGCCUUCGGUGGGAGAACUAUGAGGCCAUGCGCCCAACUGGCCAGGUUACCACUUGGGCAGAGUUCAGCGAGGCUUUCCGUGAGCAUCAUAUUCCGGAAGGUCUUAUGGAUCGCAAGUGGGAGGAGUUCAGCAACUUCACCCAGGGUAGACUCACCAUGGAUGCAUACAACAGAGAGUUUGGAAACCUGGCAUGUUAUGCAACUGAAUAA
RNAcentral lists this ribosomal RNA (609 nucleotides) under Triticum aestivum (bread wheat). Its description in RNAcentral is "partial small subunit ribosomal RNA". Lineage: Eukaryota; Viridiplantae; Streptophyta; Magnoliopsida; Poales; Poaceae. The record is from RNAcentral.